UCUCAUUCCGUGCUGGAAACGCUGGGAGGCAGGGAGUUUGAAAAAACGGCCACUGCCGCCCGCAAUGUCUCGGUCGUGGGUUCGUUAUGCCAGUUGUGCGUCAUUCUAAGCCGUUCUGUACAUUUAUACUGGAUAUUAACUGGAGUCAUUUAGCUGUGCUGAUGCUGUUUGCCGUGUGUUUUGCAUCAGUGCUUCGUGACACCGGCUGUAUUGCGUGUUUUCGCCGACGGCUUACUACCACAAUGGCGGGAACUGCGAUCACCGCCUUCGUGUCUCGGUGCGUCUUUGUACGUCGCACGUUCGGAUAACACUUUUUUCCGACGGCUGGACAUCCUUCUUGUACCUUGGCGCUAGCUGGAUGACGGGACCUCAUCAUGAUCAGUGUAUUGCUUGCCUAUGUCUACAAGAACCAUCACGCGUGGCCUGUGACAGCAAGCUUUUGUGGGCAGCAAGUGCUCUCCUACGAAGGCUGGCCUGCUCUGGCAGCGGCGGCAAUCAUCUUCAAGAUUUAUCCAUGAUCACCUUUGCAGCUAUUUGUCACUCUUGUUAAUUACACUUCCUGCAUCUUUUCUAAUUUAUUAGGUAA
This 586-nucleotide long non-coding RNA is filed under the name Dermacentor andersoni. Its description in RNAcentral is "uncharacterized LOC126538473". Lineage: Eukaryota; Metazoa; Arthropoda; Arachnida; Ixodida; Ixodidae. The record is from RNAcentral.